This 540-nucleotide ribosomal RNA is filed under the name Thorecta sp. G303206. RNAcentral's name for it is "eukaryotic LSU rRNA". It matches the Rfam family "Eukaryotic large subunit ribosomal RNA", at positions 705 to 1218 of the family's 3401-position model. Lineage: Eukaryota; Metazoa; Porifera; Demospongiae; Dictyoceratida; Thorectidae. The record is from RNAcentral.
AACCAGAAGGCGCAAUGAAAGUGAAGGCACGGCCGCCGUGCCGAGGUGAGAGCUGUCGCACGGCAGCGCAUCAUCGACCGAUCCCAUCCGCUCCCCCGUGGUGCGGCGGGAUUCGAGUAAGAGUGUACCUGUUGCGACCCGAAAGAUGGUGAACUAUGCCUGAAUAGGGUGAAGCCAGAGGAAACUCUGGUGGAGGCCCGUAGCGAUUCUGACGUGCAAAUCGAUCGUCAAAUUUGGGUAUAGGGGCGAAAGACUAAUCGAACCAUCUAGUAGCUGGUUCCCUCCGAAGUUUCCCUCAGGAUAGCUGUAGCCCGAAGCAGUUUUAUCAGGUAAAGCGAAUGAUUAGAGGUAUCGGGGAAGAAACUUCCUCGACCUAUUCUCAAACUUUAAAUAGGUAAGAAGUCCGACUUGCUCAAUCUGAAGCCGGACACAGAAUGCUGGGUUACUAGUGGGCCAUUUUUGGUAAGCAGAACUGGCGAUGCGGGAUGAACCGAACGCUGAGUUAAGGUGCCAAAGUCGACGCUCAUCAGAUCCCACAAA